Molecule: ribosomal RNA, 444 nt
Filed under: uncultured bacterium
Lineage: Bacteria
Description: bacterial SSU rRNA
Rfam family: Bacterial small subunit ribosomal RNA
Source: RNAcentral
UAAGGAAUAUUGGUCAAUGGGCGGAAGCCUGAACCAGCCAUGCCGCGUGCAGGAAGACGGCCCUACGGGUUGUAAACUGCUUUUGCAGGGGAAUAAACCCCCGAUCGAAACCGGGGCUGAAUGUACCUUGAGAAUAAGGAUCGGCUAACUCCGUGCCAGCAGCCGCGGUAAUACGGAGGAUCCGAGCGUUAUCCGGAUUUAUUGGGUUUAAAGGGUGCGUAGGCGGCCUGGUAAGUCAGGGGUGAAAGACGGUAGCUCAACUAUCGCAGUGCCUUUGAUACUGCAGGGCUUGAAUGUACUUGAGGUAGGCGGAAUGUGACAAGUAGCGGUGAAAUGCAUAGAUAUGUCACAGAACACCAAUUGCGAAGGCAGCUUACUAAAGUAUGAUUGACGCUGAGGCACGAAAGCGUGGGGAUCAAACAGGAUUAGAUACCCCGGUAGUCC